This is an unclassified non-coding RNA of Stylophora pistillata, 3821 nucleotides long. The record is from RefSeq and is a predicted model, not a curated record. NCBI's taxonomy places the organism in Eukaryota, Metazoa, Cnidaria, Anthozoa, Scleractinia, Pocilloporidae.
GCGGGAUUUAUCCUAAAUGAUGCUUGCCAAGGCCAGUACAAAAAAUACAGAACAAGCUGCAAGACUCUAAUAUGUAUGGCAGGUUUCUGGAGCAGUGCAGUUCAGGAUCUGCAAGAUCAGGGUGUUCCCAUCCCAAUUAUUGUGCGUCUUUUUGAUGAUGCACUUCAAGUCUGUGAAGAGGUUUGUCAACAGACAUCUUUUGAUAUAACUGAAGCUUUGCAAAGUCAUCAAGACUCGAGCCCUCCAGCUAAAGAUUCUAACGGCGUCAAAGAGAACAGCAAAAGCAUCUCCAAAGGGAUUUCUUGUCAUCCAGAUGCUGAAUUGGACAUCUUGAAGAAGACUGAUCUUGUUGACGCUGUUGUUGCUGAUGACAUAUCAUGGUAUUUUGAUGGACAAAACCAGGAAGUUGAUGAUUCUACACCUUGGGGCGGUUUUGAUAUCCCUGGGGCGCAUGGUGAUAUCCCAGGGGUACCAGAGUAUAUCGCUGCAACUGAGGGACAUAUCCCAGGGACAGAUAAGAUGAAAACCCCAACCACCAAACUGCCAGAGGUAAAUACUUCCAGAAAUAUAAACUACCUUGAUCUAAAAAUCAGUCGAAAUGGAGAUGUAACAACUGGCAAUGAAAACUUAGACAAAAUUUCGUUACAUCCAGAAACUUGCAAGUCACAAGGGGGAAUUUUAGGUGCAAAAGCGAAUGUCAGAAAUAUGUCACCUCCCAGGGUAAACAUGGGGAAGCCGGAGGAAAGUGGAGAUUCUCAGUUUUAUCCUAAGAUUGAAGGAGAAAUCAGUUGUGGAAAAAAAACUUUAAGAACACCUCUAGAAUCAAUCGAAUCUUGGGAUGAAAGCCUUUCCUCGCGAAUGGAAGACCGAUGUGUAGAUGAAGAUGAAUUCGAAACAUGUCUUCCGGAAGCUGUUUCAAACACAGCGAAUGGAAAUAUCGCUACUAAACCACCAGUGUUAAACGAACAUAAUGAAGAUUUAAGAUCCCCCAGAUUUUUUGGCGAAAACUUCACCAACGCCUACACAGACACGAAUUAUACAAAGUUUCAAAAUGCUGGAGCGAAAUCUUUUGAAACUUUGAACAAAAUUAAUUUAAGUUCACUCCCUCUUAUUUCGUCGGAUGGUAAAGACAAGAAAGUAGACGACAAUUUCUUGCGUUCCCUCUCGGAGAAACUGGAAAGUAAGAAAGCAGGUGUACAAAGACGGGUGAAACUGUCAGAAAUUUUCAAGGGUAGCAGACAUUUUGUGAACAGUUCCAGUAACGGAGCCUCACCACAUUUAGCAGAUGUCGCGGAUAGACCUAACAGACAGCUUAAAAAAUUGUCUACUGACGUUACUCUUAGCAGGUCGAUACCAAAAACUGGUCAAGCAGGAAAAACCAGUUCGGUCGAUUCAACGUCACAUAAUAGGCAAACUUUAUCAGUUCAAGACAAGGUUAGUUCUUUUUCAGCUCAAGUCAAUUCAACUGAAAGAAAUAAGAGGUCGUUGUUUGAGCUUGGAAGUCACCUUUCUCAUGGUAAAGAUCUCGAAAUGAAACUUGCAGUUGAAGUAACAAAUUCCUUGUUCUUCUCUUCGAUAAAAACGUCACUAAAAGAUUUUGAAAUCCCUCUCAGAAUGAUUCAUACGGAGUUAGUUCUUGGUCCGUCGAGUUCUUUUUCUUGUAGAAUUGAUGGUCUUUUAUUGGAAAACACUUCAACUUUUCAGUUUUCGUCUUCCAAUCAGAAUCUUCCUACCUGCAAACUUCUCCUUGCUCUGAUUGAUGGAGAUGUUACGCCGGAAUUUCGCCAUGUGGGGUUGAACAACGAAUUGCAGAUUCACAGAAUUGUCAGGAAUGAAUAUUCAAAAUCUUCCGAUUUCAGUCAGGAAAAAGAAUGGUACCAAGGAGGUAUAGCCUCCCUCAGUAAACACAAAAUUGGUAUUCUUGUCGUCAAAGGAAUCAUUCAUGAUUCAAUGCUGGAUUAUUGUUCAUCGCACAACAUAACAGUGCUUCAAAACGUUUCAUAUCCAGUUCUCCAACUUCUUUCAUUUGCAACCGAUUCUGCGAUAAUUACCUAUCUUGCUGACUUAAGAAAGCAGGAUUUGGGAAGACCUGUUACCAUAGAAACGUGGGAACUUGGCUGGGCGCCAUGUUUAGUUAGACAAAGCAAGUUAAAAGGCAGCGGGGCUCGUGACGUCAGAGUGAUGAAGACCUGUCAGUAUGUUCUUGUUAGAGAAGUGUUCGAGGCGAGUUCGGGUUGCAAAGAUUUCAACAGUCCUUUACAGACAGUACUUCUCUGUAGCCCUUGUAAAGAUGUUCUCUGUGAUAUGGAGGAAAGGUUCUGGAAUUCGAUCUAUCGUUUGAAAAAUGCCCUGUCCUGUGGCCGAGUUCUACCUGGAGCGGGUGAAAUUGAAGCCGCUUGUAUCCGACGACUGACCGUAGAAAAUGAUACUGCACCGUCGUUCUCUUUCAAUCCUCUCUCGGGAUGGUUACAAGAAAGCAUAGAGGUGUUCAGACCUUUGGUGUACACUGCAUUUGCCCAAGGACUCAAAGACUUUUUGUGCAGCGUUCUUCUCAACUCUGGAAACUUUACUUCACACAGCGGAGCAUCUAGCUAUGUUGAAAAGUUAGUCAACGAAGGUCUGACACUGGAUGAUCUUGAAAGAUUUCAAGACGAUCAUUCUGAUGAUCAUCGAGGACAACCUCUGAGAGCUGAAGGAAUCAAAGGCGGUCACGCAAUGGAUCGCGUUCCUCCGCGCGAUCCCGCGGGAUUCUCCACCGAUCAUUUCCGAGAUCUCUUUGACUCGAAGCAAGAGACUCGCAAAGUCAAGAGCCAUGUCUGGGAUAAUUACACAGCUAAGAAAGAAGCAUGGCGGCGCGCUGUGGGUGUCGUAAGAAUUCUUCUUCAGUCGGACAUGUUUGUAGAGACAGGAUUAAGGCAAAGCAAAAGCGAAAUAGCUCUCUUUUAAGGGGAAUUUGGUAGAACCGACAAAGCAUUAUUGUAUUUUCAAUGAAGAAUCGUGAGUAAACGGUGAUUCCUAUGAUCUGUCUUCAUUUCGCUCUGUGAUGGGUCCGGAAAACUCCGUAUAGAAUGUCUGUGACUCAGUGUGCGGAACAUUCAGUUUUUGUGUUUAAAUAAAAGCGCACUUUGCUUUUUUUUCCUACAAAAAAUAAAUCCAAUUAUCCGUGUAAUCGUGCGUGAAAAUGACGCGUUCCGUGUGAUUACACAUGCUGAGAGCGUAUUCCUCUGUACUUAUACACUUCCAAAUUUUAAUGUGACGUGUGUGUUGUCUUCCUAGUGUUAAAAUUGCGCGGCUGUGAUCCAGUCACGUUCGAGAAUUCUAUCAUGGUUGUCAUUAACACAGGAAAUAUACGUUUUGGCUGUAACCAUGGUUGACCUUUCUUCGGUUUCUAGGCGCUUCUGUCUAUGGAUUGGGGCGAGUGAAUGGGUGAUGACGUCAAAACGUGUACAUUUGUGCGUCCUUUAAUCUUGUCGCUUAUGUGAUCUUCUUUAACACGCCGUGUGGGAGUUGAAUCAAAAUUGAAUUUAAAAACUCAGAAAGGUCUGUAGCAGCAUUCUUUGUUCCUUGCCGUUCCUCGGAAACUGAUAGUUUUGAAUAUAUCACAUAAACACCGCCGCUGGAAAGAGAGAGGUAGAUUUUAAUUACUACAAAACGUGUAUGGCUGGACGAUCCGGUAGUGAGUGCUGAAAAUUGAUGUAAGAACAAGUGAUGCAGAACUAGAGUUGUACAAAAGGAAAAUUUUCAACGAGUUAUCUGGUUCUGAAAGUCCAACAAAGGUAGAGACGAUAUCUGAGGACAUCCAGACCCAAAGUGAAGGAACA